CUGGAGGGAAGGGAUACCAUCCAGUGGGACCUCGACAGGCUGCAGAGCUGGGUCUGUGUGGACCUCAUAAAGAUCUGUUACAGAGAGCUGUAGAAUCUGGGAGAGUCAAUCAGCUGCCCUGGGGAGCCACUGAAGCUGCUUCACCAACAGUAGACAAGGACAGAAUGAAUGAACACCUGAAGUGCUCACCUCAGGCUGUGUGUGGAGGGGAGGCGGCUGCAGAGGGUGGUUGGUACCAGGCAGGAUCUGGAAUGCACUCUGGAGCAUCAUUCCCACCCAAAAACCUGCAGAGGGAGCAGAGAAUGACGAGGUCUCUGAUUUAGGCAGGUCAGAGAGAUGCCCGAAGCUGGAGGAAGUGCAAAGUCUGCUUGACUGAGGUCUUCCUUUUCACCUCAAGAAAAAAGAACAAUAUAGCAAUGGAUGAAAUAUGCUCAGAGAAGACAAAUUAAAACUGAACAAUUGGAGUGGAAGAGAAACACAUGUCUAAAGAGAAAAUGCAAUAGAAAUGCUCUCAGAGAAAAUAUUAAACUGAAGUUCUGAAACAUCUAUAUGUUGAUUGAUCCUUGUAGGCCAAGUCAUGGUCCUUUAGCAGGAAUUUCUCAGUUCACUGUCAGAGACCAGGAUUGGGACCCACCACAGUGAUGAUGGAAGAGGAUCAUGGGCAAGUGGGAAUCUCCUGAAGUCUGGGGCGUUAGCUGCCUUAUUCUGAGUUUGUUUCACUUGCAUUUUCAUGCCAAGCAGAUAAUAAAUCUGGCAAGGGAAUACUUUCUAGGAAAAGAUGUUUCUGUAGAAGGGAAUUUUCCAGUUCUGUAAAUGGUGCUAGAAAGUUUGGUGUAGGAAAUUAGAUUUAUAUUUUUGGGACUUUAGGUACUUAAUGUUGCUGUUAGGUAUCCAAUGGUUCUAAAAGGCACUUCCAGCUGUCUGCAGGUCUUCCUGCUGGCUGCUGCAAAUGUGGAAACCCAGAGGAAGUCCUGUCUUAUCAGGA
Cyanistes caeruleus (blue tit) is the source of this 985-nucleotide non-coding RNA. The record is from RefSeq and is a predicted model, not a curated record. NCBI's taxonomy places the organism in Eukaryota, Metazoa, Chordata, Aves, Passeriformes, Paridae.